RNAcentral lists this ribosomal RNA (274 nucleotides) under uncultured bacterium. RNAcentral's name for it is "partial 16S ribosomal RNA". It matches the Rfam family "Bacterial small subunit ribosomal RNA", at positions 523 to 796 of the family's 1533-position model. The record is from RNAcentral.
AUACAGAGGGUGCGAGCGUUAAUCGGAAUUACUGGGCGUAAAGCGCGCGUAGGCGGCUUGGUCAGUCGGAUGUGAAAGCCCUGGGCUCAACCUGGGAAUUGCAUUCGAUACUGCCAAGCUAGAGUAUGGGAGAGGGAAGUGGAAUUUCCGGUGUAGCGGUGAAAUGCGUAGAUAUCGGAAAGAACACCAGUGGCGAAGGCGACUUCCUGGCCCAAUACUGACGCUGAGGUGCGAAAGCGUGGGGUGCGAACAGGAUUAGAAACCCUAGUAGUCC